CCUACGGGUGGCAGCAGUGAGGAAUAUUGGUCAAUGGACUAGCGUCUGAACCAGCCAAGUCGCGUGAAGGAUGACUGCCCUAUGGGUUGUAAACUUCUUUUGUAUGGGAAUAAAACGUUCCACGUGUGGGCUUUUGUAUGUACCAUAUGAAUAAGGAUCGGCUAACUCCGUGCCCGCAGCCGCGGUCAUACGGAGGAUCCGAGCGUUAUUCGGAUUUAUUUGGUUUAAAGGGAGCGUAGGUGGGGUGUCAAGUCCGUUGGGAAAGUUUGCGGCUUAAACGUAAAAUUGCAGUUGAAACUGGCAGUCUUGAGUACAGGAGAGGUGGGCGGAAUGCGUGGUGUAGCGGUGAAAUGCUUAGAUAUCACGAAGAACUCCGAUUGCGAAGGCAGUUCACUGGACUGCAACUGACACUGAGGCUCGAAAGUGUGGGUAUCGAACAGGAUUAGAUACCCUAGUAGUC
RNAcentral lists this ribosomal RNA (460 nucleotides) under uncultured bacterium. Its description in RNAcentral is "partial 16S ribosomal RNA". It matches the Rfam family "Bacterial small subunit ribosomal RNA", at positions 338 to 795 of the family's 1533-position model. The record is from RNAcentral.